AGCAGCCGCGGUAAUUCCAGCUCCAAUAGCGUAUAUUAAAGUUGUUGCAGUUAAAAAGCUCGUAGUUGAAUUUCGGGGUUAGUAGGUUGGUCAUGCCUCUGGUAUGUACUGAUCUCACUGAUUCCUCCUUCCUUAUGAACCGUAAUGCCAUUAAUUUGGUGUUGCGGGGAAUUUGGACUGUUACUUUGAAAAAAUUAGAGUGUUUAAAGCAAGCUAACGCUUGAAUACAUUAGCAUGGAAUAAUGAAAUAGGACGUUCGAUCUUAUUUUGUUGGUUUCUAGGAUUGACGUAAUGAUUAAUAGGGAUAGUUGGGGGCAUUAGUAUUCAAUUGUCAGAGGUGAAAUUCUUGGAUUUAUUGAGGACUAACUACUGCGAAAGCAUUUGCCAAGGAUGUUUUCAUUAAUCAAGAACGAAAGUUAGGGGAUCGAAGACGAUCAGAUACCGUCGUAGUCUUAACCAUAAACUAUGCCGACUAGGGAUCGGAUGAUGUUAAUUUUUUAAUGACUCAUUCGGCGCCUUA
Molecule: ribosomal RNA, 520 nt
Filed under: uncultured Glomus
Lineage: Eukaryota; Fungi; Glomeromycota; Glomeromycetes; Glomerales; Glomeraceae
Description: SSU rRNA
Rfam family: Eukaryotic small subunit ribosomal RNA
Source: RNAcentral